This 16426-nucleotide long non-coding RNA is filed under the name Triticum aestivum (bread wheat). Its description in RNAcentral is "long non-coding RNA (TAES_LNC022732)". The stretch from base 13780 to 13904 matches the Rfam family "MIR1120/MIR1122 microRNA precursor family". The record is from RNAcentral. Lineage: Eukaryota; Viridiplantae; Streptophyta; Magnoliopsida; Poales; Poaceae.
AGUUUUUUUUUUCUUCACAAUCAUUCAUUUGUCACAAUGGUUAUAUUUAUAUUGAUAAAAAAAGGAAUUAAAGCCUCUGGGAUAGGCUCUAGCAUCAUCUAAUCAAGCACUCCUACUAGGGAUAGGCUUUGGCUAAGAGCAUCUCCAACAGCCGUGCUAUAUAAGCGCCGCGCUGAAAAAUUAGUACUUUUUGCGCGCGCUACCGCUCUGGCCGCUCCAGCGGAGGCGCAAAAACCGCACGCGCGACAUAUCUAGUUCAGCACACAGGCCGAAACGCCAUCGCGUGCCGCUUAUUUGCUGCGUCCGCUCCCACGCGCUGGACUCUCGAGCGCUCGACCCACCUACCCCAUCCAGCCGCCGGUGCCGCCACCGCCCGCACCACGCCAUUUCUUCCGGCGACCGUUCUGGCGCUCCCCCGGCCUAUCCCCGCACCGUCGCGGCUUUCUCCAUCUCCUUCUAGUCACCGCUACCCGUCGCGCGCGGCAGUCCUCCAACGAACAGCACCCGGCCGCUCACCGCCGCUCGGCGCCCGCAAGGUGUUCGACAAAACGCUCGCAAGGUAUGUAUUGCUUCAACUUCACAUUUCUUACAUGAAUUUGGUGCAUGUUGUUUGUAGUUUUUAUAGCCUAGUUUAUAUUGAACAUUGUAGAUGAGUUCGUCGUAUGAUUCUUCCGAAGAAGAAUUUGAUAUGGAAGAGGAGGAUCUUGCAAUGAUCCUAGCUAUGCACAUCGAUAAAAAACCGAAGCACGGUGGUUCGGUUAUGGGUCGGCAGAAAAUUUGGAGGGAUAGGAUUGAUGCCCACAACAGAUUGAUGAGGCACUAUUUUGUGGAGAAUCUCACAUACCCCGAGUCGUACUUUCGUCGCGGUUUAGGAUAAGCACCGAGUUGUUCAGGCUCAUUGCAGAGAAACUAGCGAGCCAUGGCCGGUUUUUUCAGCAAAAGAGGAAUGCCGCCGGAGAGCUCGGGCAUAGCACCUUUCAUAAGGUGAUAACCGCUUUGCGUAUGUUGGCAUACGGUAUCCCCGUUGAUCUAGUUGAUGAUCACUUGGCCAUGGUUGAGAGUCAAGCCAUCAUGUGUGUCAAGCGCUUUGCAGUCGGAAUUGUACAAGUGUUUGGCCAGGAGUACUUGCGAUCUCCCAAUGCUGAAGACGCCGCAAGGCUAUUGGAGAUGAACAAAGCUCGCGGCUUCCCAGGUACGCUUUGCUCAAUAGAUUGCAUGCAUUGGAGUUGGAAGAAUUGUCCAAAGGCAUGGCAUGGGCAAUUCCACAGCCAAAAAAAGGGUUCCACUAUAAUCCUUGAAGUGGUGGCCGAUCAAGAGACUUGGAUUUGGCAUGCUUUUUUUGGAAUGCCUGGAUCUUUGAAUGACAUCAACGUUGUUAACCGGUCACCACUGAUGAAUAAGAUUGCAAAUGGUGAACUGCCACCGGUGCAGUUUGUAGCAAAUGGCCGUACAUACAAGUAUGGAUACUAUCUUGCGGAUGGCAUCUACCCAAAGUGGCAAACAUUUCUGAAGCCGUUGAAAAAACCGGAAGUUAAGAAAAAUCUUGAUUUCCACAAUGCUCAGGCGGCGGCUAGAAAAGAUGUGGAGAGAGCUUUUGGGAUUUUGCAAGCCCAAUUUGCUAUUGUGAGAGGACCGACUAGAUUUUGGGAUCAAAAGAUACUUUGGUACAUCAUGCACGCUUGUGUGAUCAUGUACAACAUGAUCAUCGAGAAUGAGCGUGGCCAAGAUGUAGACUACUCUCACUAUGAGCUCUUGAGACAUCCCGUGCGAGUGCGGCGGAGGGCUGAAAGGGUGGCCCGUUUUGUUGCCUCCUAUCAUGCCAUUCGACGUCCCGCAGCGCAUGAUGAUCUUCACAAGGAUCUCAUUGAGGACUGGUGGGCUUGGAAUGGCCGACAAAGAGCAUCAUGAUUUGUGCGUUUGAUCUUGUAUUGUCGAACUAUUUGUUGUAUUGCAAGAUAAAUGAUACGUCCAUUUUGCAGCAUGCUUUUAUAUCCAUAUUUAUUGCAUUAUGGGCUGUUAUUACACAUUAUAUCUUAAUACUUAUAUGGCUAUUCUCUCGUAUUUUACAAGGUUUACCAUGAAGAGGGGGAACUCAAUAGACCAUUUGGCAAACUUGCGACUUAAUAGCUCGUCGUGGCUUAUAGGUUAUGUCGAACGGGAGGAGCUCAAUGGCCCAUUUGGCAAUCCGGCCCGUCGCGUCACGGUUGUUUAUAAUGUCAUUAAGAGGUACUUCGGAGGCUACUGUUAUCGAACACUCUUGAAAAUAGUGUCGUGGCUUCCGGGAUGCCAUGAACACCGCGUACGCUAUCUUCUGAUAAUGGGGUACCGUGACUUGCAUGGAGUUAGGACAGUGGACACGUAGUAGACUGGUUUUUGAAGGGGGAACUUGUGUCCGUCCGUUUCUCGUUCGACAACGAGCACCGCGCUCACCACUUGAUAAGUUGCCGCGAUAUAUAAUAGCAUUGGUUCGCCCAUGUUGGGCGCGGCCAGGACCGGGUUUGUUGCCAAUAUGGCUUUUAUUUCUUCGAGUCCGGCCGUGGCGACAUCCAUCCACUCGAAGUGUUAGGUGCGUCGGAGGAGGCAAUAAAGGGGUAAUGCCUUUUCUCCUAAACGGGAGAUAAAGCGGCUUAAAGCCGCCACGCAUCCCGUCAAUUUUUGUAUUUGUUUGAGGUCCUUUGGGAUAUCCAAUUGUGACAGAGCUCGGAUCUUGGCUGGGUUUGCUUCAAUUCCUCUACCGGAUACAAUGAAGCCCAACAGCUUUCUGGCUGGUACGCCUAAAACACAUUUUUCCGGGUUGAGCUUAAUGUCAUAUGUUCGGAGAUUAUCGAACGUGAGCCUCAAAUCGUCUACUAAAGUUUCGACGUGCUUGGUUUUGACAACCACAUCCUCUACAUAUGCCUCCACUGUUUUGCCGAUCUGGUUUGCCAGACAUGUCUGAAUCAUGCGCUGAUAUGUUGCGCCGGCGUUUUUGAGCCCAAAGGGCAUUGGGUUGAAGCAGAAUGGGCCGUAUGGGGUGAUGAAUGCCGUUGCGGCCUGGUCGGGCUCUGCCAUCUUAAUUUGGUGGUAGCCGGAGUAUGCGUCGAGGAAACACAAUGAAUCGUGUCCUGCGGUAGCGUCGAUAAUUUGAUCGAUGCGGGGGAGGGGGAAGGGUUCCUUUGGGCAGGCCUUGUUGAGGUCCUUAAAAUCGACGCAUAGGCGCCAGGAUUUGUCCUUCUUUGGUACCAUUACCAGGUUUGCUAGCCAGUCCGGAUGUUUUAUAUCUCUGAUGAAUCCGGCCUCCAAUAAUUUGGCUAGCUCCUCUCCCAUGGCAUGUCUCUUGGGUUCGGAGAAACGCCGAAGAGCCUAUUUGACUGGCUUGAAUCCUUUUAGGAUGUUUAGGCUGUGCUCGGCCAGCCGGCAUGGGAUUCCAGGCAUGUCUGAAGGGUGCCACGCAAAAAUGUCCCAAUUUUCGCGUAGGAAUUCUCGUAGUUCGGUGUCUACAUCAGGGUUUAAUUGUGCCCCGAUGGAGGCCGUUUUUGUAGGGUCCGUUGGAUGUACUUGGAAUUUGACUAUUUCGUCCGCUGGUUUAAAGGAGAUGGACUUGGAUCUCUUAUCGAGUAUCACGUCGUCCCUAUUCACCGUGGAGCGCAGCGUAGUGAGUUCCUCGGCCGCUAGGGCUUUGGAUAGUGCCUCCAGGGCCAGUGCGGCUGUCUUAUUUUCGGCACAGAGUGCUAUGUCCGGGUCACUAGCAAGAGUGAUGAUUCCGUUGGGCCCGGGGUAUAGCUUGAAAAAUUAUGAAUGCCUCUCGCCCUAAUAGAGCGUGAUAUCCGCUGCUGAACGGGGCCACUUGGAAUGUGACCUCCUCGGACCUGUAAUUAUCCGGCGUGCCGAACACCACAUCCAGUGUGUUUUUUCCUGUACAGCAUGCUUCCCGACUGGGGAUUAUUCCUCUAAAGGUUGUGCUGCUUCGCUCAAUGCGGCUCCAGUCUAUUUCCAUUUUUCGGAGGGUUUCCUCGUAAAUGAGGUUCAGUCCGCUGCCACCGUCCAUGAGUACCUUGGUAAGGCGAAAGCCAUCCACUAUCGGACUGAGGACCAAUGCGGCUGGUGCUCGGGCUGUUCGGAAUUUAGGUUCGUCAUUGGCAUUAAAGGUAAUAGCCGUGUCACUCCAUGGGUUUAUUGUUGCUACUUGGUAGACUUCGGCAAGGCUACGGAGAGUUCGUUUCCGCAUAUUAUUUGAUGCGAAAGUCUCGAAGACUGUUAAUACCGUACUGGUAUCCUUGGACUGGUGCUCUGGAGUUAGAAGCUCUUUGCCACUUUUGGCCAACUGCCGUAGUAUCCAACAUGCUCUAAGGCUAUGAUUGGAGUGGCGCCCUCUGUACUAUGAAUUUUGCAGGGUCCAUUGAGCCAUCCCUCCAGUACGGUUCCAUGCCCUAUAGAGGGUUUUUGCUUUUUGGUAUUUAACCCAGGUGCCUGGCAAUGAUGCACCCUUUUAUUUCGGACUGGGGUUGUAUUCAGGGCCGGACUGUCCCAAAAAUUGAUUUCGGUUCUCCAGGCGCUUUCCAUCGCACAGUACUUUCGUACUAUGGACGGCAAGUCAGCGAAGCAUGUAAUUUCACGACGACUUACGGCGUUGAGGAUUGCCUUGUCCGUGCAAUUAUUGCAGAAGAAUGAAAUUGCGUCCUCCUCACGGCAAUCCUUUAUCCUGUUUAUGACCAGGAGGAAUCUGGCCCAGUAAUGGUGUACUGUUUCUACGGGCUCUUGUCGGAUUUGGGAUAGAUCGCUUAUGUUUGGGUGGGCGGGUUUAAUUAAAUUCGGAACCCCGUUCGAUCUAAAACUCAGGGGCCAAGAAGUUUCCGAACUUGGAAGCUUGGGUUCUUGGAUGUUGUCCAAUGAAUCUAGCCUGCUGCCUGACUUUAGGUUCAGGGCUUGAGUGACGUCCUCCCCUCCGCGAGAAUCCGGCAUGGAGGGAUCGGGAAUCCGGACAUAGCUAGUCCUUAAGAUAGAAGAAGAGUCGCCGUAUUGUUCCUCUACCACAGCAACGUGGUGGGUAACCCGGGGAGAGUUAAUCUCUCUCAGAUCGGGUUUAGGCCCAAUCUGAUCGUAGUCUGUAGCGACUCCCAGGGCGGCGAUGCGAUCCAAAAGCUCAUUGAAGGAAGAGAGCUCCAUCAGAUCUAACUGCUCGGCGAGUUCCGAGUUAACGUAAAGAUUACUUUCGAUGACCCGAGAAGUCAUCGUCGGCGCGGUGGCCGAACUGGCGGUCAUAAGGAAACCGCCUAGCCGGAGAGUUUGACCGAUAGCCAAAGCUCUUUUAGCAACAGUGCCGUCUUUAAAGACGGGAUGAGGCAUCCUUCCUGACGGUGACGGCACAGAGGAACUCUCAAUGAAAGCACUAAUGUCGGUGUCAAAACCGGCGGAUCUCGGGUAGGGGGUCCCGAACUGUGCGUCUAGGCGGAUGGCAACAGGAGACAAGGGACACGAUAUUUUUACCCAGAUUCGGGCCCUCUCGAUGGAGGUAAAACCCUACUCCUGCUUGAUUAAUAUUGAUGAUAUGGGUAGUACAAGAGUAGAUCUACCACGAGAUCAGAGAGGCUAAACCCUAGAAGCUAGCCUAUGGUAUGAUUGUUGUUCGUCCUACGGGCUAAAACCCUCCGGUUUAUAUAGGCACCGAAGAGGGUUAGGGUUACACAGAGUCGGUUACAAUGGUAGGAGAUCUACAUAUCCGUAUCGCCAAGCUUGCCUUCCACGCCAAGGAAAGUCCCAUCCGGACAUGGGACGAAGUCUUCAAUCUUGUAUCUUCAUAGUCCGGGAGUCCGGCCAAUAGUUAUAGUCCGGCUAUCCGGACACCCCCUAAUCCGGGACUCCCUCAGCCCCUCUUUCCCUCUCCCGGCCCUCUCCCUCUCCUUCCUUCCCCCUUCCCCCUUCCUAGUUGGACUAGGAAAGGAGGAGUCCUACUCCUACUAGGAGGACUCCUCCCCUCCUUGGCGCGCCCAAGGGCCGGCCAGCCUCCCCCCUUGCUCCUUUAUAUACGGGGGCAGGGGGGCCUAGAACACACAAGUUGACAUUGUUUAGCCAUGUGCGGUGCCCCCUCCACAGUUACACACCUCAGUCAUAUCAUCGUAGUGCUUAGGCAAAGCCCUGCACCGGUAACUUCAUCAUCACCGUCACUACGCCGUCAUGCUGAUGAAACUCUCCCUCGGCCUCAACUGGAUCAAGAGUACGAGGGACGUCCCCGAGCUGAACGUGUGCUGAUCGCGGAGGUGCCGUACGUUUGAUGCUAAGAUCGGUCGGAUCGUGAAGACAUACGACUACAUCAACCGCGUUGUCAUAACGCUUCCGCUUUCGGUCUACGAGGGUACAUGGACACACUCUCCCCUCUUGUUGCUAUGCAUCACCAUGAUCUUGCGUGUGCGUAGGAUUUUUUUUUGAAAUUACUGCGUUCCCCAAUGGUAAUCAACUUGUGGAUUCCCGUGGUGACAUUGGAGUAAUCUAGGCAUCGAGGUUGAUACAUGUUUUCAUCCUACUUUCUCCGAUAGGAACUUUGGAGUGAUUCUUUUUCGCACAUUGAGGGAGUGUUAUAUGAUUCAGUUAUGUUAGCACUGUUGAGAGAUUGCACUAGUGAAAGUAUGAACCUUAGGCCUUGUUUCUAAGCAUUGUAAUACCGUGUGUGCUCACUUUUGUUACUUGCUACCUUGCUAUUUUUAAUUGUUCAGAUUAUAGAAACCUAUUUCUACCAUACAUAUUACACUUGUAUCACCACCUCUUCAUCGAAAUAGUGCACCUAUACAAUUGACAACUGUAUUGGGUGUGCUGGGGACACGAGAGAUUUCUUGUAUUUGAUUGCAGGGUUGUUUGAGAGAGACCAUCUUCAUCUUACAUCUCUCAUGGAUUGAUAAACCUUAGGCCAUUCACUUGAGGGAAAUUUGUUGUUGUCCUACAAAACUCUGCACUUGGAGGCCUAACCGAGUCUAUAAGAAUAAAAGUUGAAUAGUAGACAUCAGGUACCGAGCCAGCAUGAAUUUCCUUGGCUUAUUAUCGAUCUGUGGGACCCGCUACUACUUGUUUCCGUGGCCUUUCGAUAUGGGCAAUGGAGUAUCCGAUUCCGUCAUACUUUUGGACAAGCAGAGAGUGACGACUGAACUAGACUACGGACUGCCCUACCACUGGUGCUAUCGGACUAUCCGGACAAUGCAUCGUGGUGGCUCACUCCGACGGCGGAGUUUUCAGUGAGCACGACAUACCAUGCCUUAUGCCAGUCACCUACCACUCCCUGGCUUCCACUGUUGUGGAAAUCCCCCUUACCCCUCAAGAUUAAGAUCUUUGUGUGGCAGCUAUUACGAGAUCACAUCCCUUCGGGGAUAGAGGUGAAGGAAAUAUGCCCUAGAGGCAAUAAUAAAGUUAUUAUUUAUUUCCUUAUUUCAUGAUAAAUGUUUAUUAUUCAUGCUAGAAUUGUAUUAACCGGAAACAUAAUACAUGUGUGAAUACAUAGACAAACAUAGUGUCACUAGUAUGCCUCUACUUGACUAGCUCGUUUAUCAGAGAUGGUUAUGUUUCCUAGCCAUAGACAAAAGAGUUGUCAUUUGAUUAACGGGAUCACAUCAUUAGGAGAAUGAUGUGAUUGACUUGACCCAUUCCGUUAGCUUAGCACUUGAUCGUUUAGUAUGUUGCUAUUGCUUUCUUCAUGACUUAUACAAUGUUCCUACAACUAUGAGAUUAUGCAACUCCCGUUUACCGGAGGAACACUUUGUGUGCUACCAAACGUCACAACGUAACUGGGUGAUUAUAAAGGUGCUCUACAGGUGUCUCCGAAGGUACAUGUUGGGUUGGCGUAUUUCGAGAUUAGAUUUUGUCACUUCGAUUGUCAGAGAGGUAUCUCUGGGCCCUCUCGGUAAUACUCAUCACCUAAGCCUUGCAAGCAUUGUAACUAAAGAGUUAGUUAUGAGAUGAUGUAUUAUGGAACGAGUAAAGAGACUUGCCAGUAACGAGAUUGAACUAGGUAUUUGAUACCGACGAUCAAAUCUCGGGCAAGUAACAUACCGAUGACAAAGGGAACAACGUAUGUUGUUAUGCGGUUUGACCGAUAAAGAUCUUCGUAGAAUAUGUAGGAACCAAUAUGGGCAUCCAGGUCCCGCUAUUGGUUAUUGACCGAGAAUGGUUCUAGGUCAUGUCUACAUAGUUCUCAAACCCAUAGGGUCCGCACGCUUAACGUUACGAUGACAGUUAUAUUAUGAGUUUAUGAGUUUUGAUGUACCGAAGGAGUUCGGAGUCCCGGAUGAGAUCGGGGACAUGACGAGGAGUCUCGAAAUGGUCGAGACGUAAAGAUCGAUAUAUUGGACGACUAUAUUCGGAGUUCGGAAAGGUUCCGAAUGAUUCGGGUAUUUUUCGGAGUACCGGAGAGUUACGGGAAUUCGCCGGGGAGAAGUAUUGGGCCUUAUUGGGCCCUGCAGGAAAGAGAGAGGGGCUGCCUAGGGCAGGCCGCGCGCCCCCCAUGGCCUAGUCCGAAUUGGACUAGGGGGAGGGGCCGCACCCCCUCCCUCCUUCCCUUCUCUCUUCCCCUUCCUUGUCUCCUACUCCUAAUACAUGGAAGGACUCCUAGUUGGACUAGGAAAGGGGGAAUCCUACUCCCGGUGGGAGUAGGACUCCCCAUGGCGCGCCCCUCCUAGGGCCGGCCUCCUCCUCCCUCCCUCCUUUAUAUACGGGGGCAGGGGGCACCCCAUGGACACACAAGUUGAUCUACGGAUCGUUCCUUAGCCGUGUGCGGUGCCCCCCUCCACCAUAUUCCACCUCGGUCAUAUCGUCGCGGAGUUUAGGCGAAGCCCUGCGCCGGUAGAACAUCAUCAUCGUCAUCACGCCGUCAUGCUGAUGGAACUCAUCCCCGGCGCUUUGCUGGAUCGGAGCCCGGGGAUCGUCAUCGAGCUGAACGUGUGCUGAACUCGGAGGUGCCGUACGUUCGGUACUUGGAUCGGUCGGAUCGUGAAGACGUACGACUACAUCAACCGCGUUGUCAUAACGCUUCCGCUUACGGUCUACGAGGGUACGUGGACAUACACUCUCCCCUCUCGUUGCUAUGCCAUCACCAUGAUCUUGCGUGUGUGUAGGAAAUUUUUGAAAUUGCUACGUUCCCCAACAAGAGGUACUUAAUCGGCAUGGCCCAGGUGAUGGCUUGUGGCCCUUGUGCGCGGUAUCGGAGACUGGGACCCAUAUCCUAUUCUCUUGUACGGCGGCACGGGUUUUAUGGGCGUUCGUGUGAGGCACUGGGGCCCGACUGGAAGGCCCUGAACCUCGCGGCGUUCCUCCAAUACAUGGCUACACAACAUUGCCAGUUAUUCUGGCUUAUCUUUGCGGCGUUGUCAUGGACACUUUGGACGACGCGUAAUAAAAUGGUGAUUGAGAAGGUCUUUCUGAGGAAGACAUUUGACUCCAUCAAAUUCCUUACUUUUCUGCAGUACUGUCACCCGCUCUCGAGGCAGCGUGACUGUCAUCAUCUUGGCCUCAUGAUGGAUGCGCUUCUUGCUACAGCGCGUUGACUAUCGUCCUCGUAGCGCCGCUUGGCGGCUGCCACUAGAUGAUUUUUUUUGUUUCUCUUAUGUUUUCGUGGGCAUGAUUGUGUUGUUGCCCCAGCCGUCGUUCUUUAUAUGUUGUCUGGAUGCUGGUUGUAUGAACCGUUGUUUUAUCUAUAAAGCGGGGCGAAAGCCUAUUUCGAGAGAGUUCUUUGGCUGAUUCAGCAACCUCUAUUUCCUAGCUCAUAAGAAGAAACCUCUAGGGCGUGUUUGGUUGCCCGCAUUAGGCCCAGCAUUGCACGGAACUUAAAGCACCUACAGGCCAGGCCCAGAGGAAACGCAAGAUUCGGCAGUAGCUCGCGAGCCUGGCUUGGGCGAGGCAGGGGAGGGCGACGCGCUUCUCCCCUCGUGCGAGCAGGGGAGAUGGCGCGAGCUCGCCCGCGUCGCUGAAAAAUCAACGGGAGGAUUUUGGCUCACCUACCGCCGCUCCACCCCCUAUUUAGCCCCUCCCUCACCGCCCCAAUUCCCGCCAUCAUUCUUCCUCCGUUCGCACCUUCCCGCCGACGGGCAUCGGCACCGAUGAGCAGGUAAGCGGUGCAUCUUCAUCGGCCGGCGGUCCACGGCGCCGGAGCUCCUUCACCGGCCGGCGUUCAUCUUCCACCACCGUCCCCCUCGUCCUCAAGCUGCAGCCAUGGCCUCUGUGAGUUCAAUCCCCCUUUCUCUCUGUUCCUUGUAGCUAGAUCUGAGCUGCAGUUAGGGUUUGAUCUAGAUGCAUGGUUGAUUAGUGGUCUGAUCUGUGAGCUCAUAUGGUUGGUUGCUAUGCUGCGGUUGCAAUUUGUGGUAGGGCUAGAUGUUCAAGCAUGUGGUAGGCUAGAUUAGUAGUACAGUUUGAAGUUGAGCCUUGUGCUUGUGUUGAAUCAUGCUUAGAUAUAUGAUAUUUGUAGCUAUUGGUAGUCCAUUUGUAGCAUGUUGUUAGUUGUAGAUGUAUGUCUCUGCUUAUAGAUUGUCUGGUAUGCUUAGUAUGAUAGUGAUGAAGCAUGUGCUUGCUAUGAUAGUGAUGAACCAUGUACAUGUAUGCUCCUGCUUUCAUGGAUUUUCCGGUAUGUAGUGUGCUAUGCUCACUGUCAAUGUGUGCUACAAUUGUAGGACAUGACCACGCAGACGCAAGAUCUUAGUCAGGCCAUUAUCCUGUCCGACAGCCAGUUUGCUCCAUCGUUUGUCCAGGACUCGCAGCCUAUCUCCGAGAUGGCACCUGAUUCAGAGGUGUUUGAGUCUGAUUCCCUCUAUGUGCCAGUAGUGCUCGUUGAGCCAACUCCUGCUGCUGCUGCUGCCGCUGCAAUCAAGCUAGCAGCAGCAAAGGCAAAGAAGGAUGGUAGGUCGAACAACAUGAAGUGGCAGCCGUUCAUGUCCAUGUUCGUACUGAACAAGAUGUGUGAGCUCAUCUCUAGUGGAGUUAGGACUGAUAAGGGCUUCAAGGAGGUGCACUUGAACACCGUUGCGAAGCAGGUGUUCGAGUUCUGUGGGCAAGAGGUGUCUGCCGCCCAGGUGUACAACCACCUGAGGAAGUGGAGAAGUCGAUGGAUCCAAGUGUCCAAGCUGAGAGACCUUAGCGGCGCCUCAGGGGAUGAGAACACUUGCUCCAUAGUUCCGGAGGCAGAGCACUCCGCCGGCCAUGUCGCGGUUAGCUCACAGCCCUCUUCCUUUUCAUACUGCCCACCAUUGCCUACCCCUAAUCGCAACUAACAACACUUGUGUUUCAUUCUUAGGACCACCCAAGGGACGCUGAGUUCCUCAACACACCCAUCCAGAACUACAACCAGAUGCAACACGUCUUCUCCUUCGGGCUGGCAACUGGAAAGCAUGCCAUGGGCUUGGGUGAGCCUCUUGGUUCUCCCAUGCCAGACUUCCCUGGGACACCGGACGUCGAGGUCCUUGAUGGCCCUGACAAGCCCGCUGCGAAGCCCUUCGACAAGCCAUUUGACCCCAACCAUGAUAGGAUGAGGAAGAGAGGAGGCCUGAUGGAGGAGGAGAUCAAUGUCUUUUGCAGCAUGACUGAGGCGGUGAAGGAGGUGGCAACAGCCAUCAGGGAGUGCAAGCCCCUUGACGUCCACCCUGACCUGUAUGGCACUGUCAUGACCCAGGGUGGAUUCAGCGACGAGGCUCUCAUGGCAGCUCUCAGCCACCUGCUUGACAACAAGGCCCAGGGUGUUGGGUUCGUUGCCAUGGCUGACGCUCACAGGGUGCUGUGGCUCAGGAGCUGGCUAGGCAAGCACUACUACUAGAGUAGUGCUGCCUGUGAGCGUGCAUGAUCCCCGAUGGCGAUGGCGGUGGCGACGACGAUGACGAAGACGACGUACAUUUUGUGUAGCUAGGGCUCAAAAACUAUUUGAUGGUAUGUAUAUUUUGGUGAGGUGGUAUAUACUAACCCCUCACGCUGAUGGUGAACUUACGGUGGUAGGACGACACCCUCUUUUGGAUGUGGUAGUAGGUUAACACCAAGGUAGUGCUAGGUUGAACUUGCUAUGCCGUAUGAUCAUGCAUGCUUUACUUCUGUUCUGCUCCAUUGUUGUUUCUGUGCUACUUUGCUUGCUACUUGUGCUCCAUUGAUUUGCUGCUUCAACUCUUCCUCUUGUGCAUUGCUAGGGCAAGUGGUAAGCCGUGUUCAUCGAUGAGGUUCCAGGGGUUUAUAGUUCAUGGGAAGAAGCCAAUGCACAAGUGACAUCGUAUAGCAACUGCAACUAUAGAGGGUUCAAGACUAGGCAGGCAGCAGAACAAGCUUACUCCGCCUGGGUGCGAAAGCACAGAGGCAGCAGUGUCGGCAGUGCCAAGGUUGGAGCUGUCAAAGUGGAAGCUGCUAAGGUGGAUCGUCAGUUCGGCCUGAAGCUGAAGAACUUCAUCAUCUUCGCCCAGUUCGUCACCAUUGCUGUGUUGUGGCGUUGGUGUGCUUGCUGUGAUCGUUGUGGGUAAGGUCACCAACUAGGGUACAAGGUAAGCACGACAUGUACGCUGUAUGCAACCAAACACCGUGUUCAUAUGCCGAUAGGGCUAAUGCAGCCAACCAAACAAAGUGCACUUGGGUAUUACCUAAUGCAGGGACUAGGAAUGCAGGCAACCAAACAACUUGUUUAUGGCGUAUUAGGGCCUGUUUUUCCUCAACCAGGCUGGGUUGAGAAGGCUAUGCAAUGCGACUAUUGUUCCAAACUGGAACCAAACACGCCCCUAGCAAAUGCAUACGAAGAAAAUACUAGCGACAAUACAUAGUUACAUACGGUGCCCCUUGCGAUGCACCACGACUUUAUGACAUGGACAUCAUUCAACUGCAUAAUUCUGCAUGGACCACCGUCGGCCUGGCCUGUUGCGGAAUAAACGCCCUUGUAGCUUGUGGCAUUUAUCAAGAACAAAAUUUGGGAAUGUGUAAAUGAAAGCAUAGUGGCGACUCACUCUUGGUGUUCCCCUUCUGCAAGUAGGCGUCCCCGUCUGCUGCGUCUCCUCUCUCUUCUAUCCUUGCAAUUUAUGUCUCCUCUCACUAUAUCUACUACAGUUAUGUCGUCUGGUUUUGAAUAGCAAGCAAUAGGGACUGUGUAUACGUACACAACACGCUUCAAUGAAGCCACACACAACCCUAAAAAAAAAGAGGCCACACACAGACUCCUGAAAAGGCAACGUCAUUCAAGCGACACUCCGGCCGAUCCAAAACAGCAGUUUCACCACACCCUAAAAAAUCAAAGUUUCACCAUUGAUUUGCACACUUCCACCGUAGAGUGCUGUAGGGUAAAGGAGUAAAAUGCACAUACCACAACUUCCGAGUAUAGCAUAGCAGAAAACUACAACUACAGUUUAGUUUUUUUGAAGCAAUAGUUGAAGCUCUGUGAUGUCCAUUUAUGUGGUAGUGGUAGUACUUCGUACAGUAAUUUACACCAUGAGCUUAAGGUGAGAUAAGCCUUAUUAUUUUUUCUCUACUUAAACUUAUUCUCUUGCACUUACUGGAAAGUUGGAAAAUAAUAAAAGAUGCCCAGUCGAUCGACCGAGGCAGACCGUGUGGCUCAACUCAACCAAGCUUCCACCGUACUCUGUAAUUUAUGCCUUUACUCUACCGAUGUAAUUUUUGCCUUGUUUUUACGAGCGCCGGGGCUAGAGAGACGACAAGAAGAGCAUGGGACUAUGGGAGCAAAGCAAUACAAAUUCCACGUCCAUCCCUACGGAGCGCCAAUGAAGAGCAACAUGAGCUAGUACUGGUUUUCUUUCAAGGAAAAACAAAUGAGCUAGCUUUUCCGGUGCCCCCGCUGCUAGACAGCCUACAUACGUAGUACUCCCUCCGUCCGGAAAUACUUGUCGGAGAAAUGCAUAAAAAUGAAUGUAUCUAGAACUAAAAUACAUCUAGAUACAUCCAUUUCUCCGACGAGUAUUUCUGGACGGAGGGAGUACAUGUUAGGGGCAGAGCCAUUGCUCCCAUCCAUCAACCAGCUGACAAGUGGUGAUGACAAAUGUUGCAGUAGGCAGAUUGCCAAGUUCGUUCAUACAAAUAUUGAAGUGCUCUGCACACUGUGUGCAGAUUGCCUAGUUCGUCCAUAGGGAUAUUGAAGUGCUCUGCACUGUGACGUGCCUACCGCCCAAAGUUGCACUGCUAUUACGACCAUAGUCCCCAAGCCAAGCAACCCACAGCCAGCCUCUUUGAAUGCGUCGCAGCAGCAAUGAGACGAAGUGAAUGCAUGUACAGAGAAAAAGUGAUGGAAGAAUAUUUUUUUUUGAAAAAUACACAAUUGCACAUCCCCCAUAUAACUCACAGCACAGGCGUAUGGCUUCAGUUCAGUGUUCCCCCAUACAUACAAAGAGCACCCACAUCCUCUCUACUCUCUACUCUCUACUCUCUAGUGGUGCCGUGCCUCCCCAUUCCCCAACCUCGCCGCUUGGUUUCCCAUGGCGAACCAGCUGCCGGUGCAGCAGCAGGUCGACCCGCUUGGACAUGAACAUCUCAACCAGCAGCGCAUGUGCGCCCCGCGGCAGCAAAGCCUAAACGUAAGUUUCUACCUCCUUGCAGAAAAUCAGGGUGGAGCACGUAUUUUCUAGCUAGCCAUCGCUUCCUAUGUGUCGCCUGCUUCCUCUUGUCUUGGCUCCGAGCGCCCGGUCGGCGUUUGGUCCUCCUCGCCUCGCUCGUCCGGCCGGCUUCCGGCUGCUUGGCUUGGACGACCUGUGCGUGUUCCGAGUUCUUUCCCACACGUCCGGCCUGGGCAGCGCGCAUGAAACUCAAAAGUAUCAGCGAAUGCGUAUGCCCAGCACCACUUGCAUGCGGAUCUCUCUCUCUCUCUCUCUCUCUCUCUGUGUGUGUGUGUGUGUUUUUCUUUACCACAUCACUUUUUUGCAGUACUACAUAUCACGUUUAUUUUUGGGCGUGUUUUGAGCUUGUUGGAGUUGUGAGCAUCUUACUUUCGACAAAAUUAAAAAAAGAAAAAUCUCGAAGAAAAAAAAAGACGAGCUGUGAGCAUCUUAGUUUCGAUAAAAUUAUUAGGUUUCAAAAAAAAUCGAAGAAAAAAAAGGGACGAGUUGUGAGCAUCUUCAUCACUAUGUGGAGACCGGAUUUGUACUUUACCGUGGGUUUUGGAGUAUUGUUUCGGGUCAAUAAAAUUCAGUUGGUCCAAAAAAUGCGCACGUACGCCGGUCCUAGAUGUACGGCACCACCGCGUACAGCUAUAGCCACAGAAAAAACUUUAAAGCCGUGUACCCAAUAUACUCGGCUUAUAUUGAUAUAAACAUGGUUUAUAUAUAAGCCGAGUAAAAUACCCGGCUUACAUGACACGGUUUACACUCCAUCGGCUUAUAAGGUAUAAGCCGAGUGCCAGUGCAAAAACUCUCAGUUUAUGUAUAAACUGUGUGUUUAUACGAGGCUCUCAGCUUACUAAAGUAACAUGACGGCAGCUGAAAGAUAACGGCCACAUGUCACUGUCUGUAUAAACCGAGUGUCUACUGAAGCCACACGGUUUAUGUAUAAACCGAGCGUCUACUGAAGCCACACGGUUUAUGUAUAAACCGAGUGCCUACAAGCGCUACACAUUUUAUCUAUAAACCAAGUGCCAAAAUGAGCCGCACGGUUUCUAUAUAAACAUAUAAACCGAGUGCCGACUCCUGCUGUACUCGGCUUAUAGUCCAGCCGUUGUUACAAAUAUGCCUAUAAGCCGUGUGCCUGGCACCUGGAGUACUCGGCUUAUACAGCUCCCGUGGCAUAAUAUGCCUAUAAGCCGGGUGCCAUGUCCCUGGGACACUCGGUUUAUAGGCCAGAUUGCUUUUUUCUUUCUACAUGCUUCAGCGAGCAGCGGCAACAUGGCUUAUAUAUCCAGCAAGCAACAUGUCCAGCAAAUAUAGAUCCAGCAAGUAAUAUAUAACCAACGAAGGUUCACAACAACAAUAUAUUACAACUUGACAACCAUAACAAAUUGACCAUGAGUCCAAAGUCCACACAGGUACAUAUCCAACAAGGUUCACAAACAAAAGCAUGAGUUCCAAGUUCACACCAAGCAUGAACCUCAAACAUGCAAUGUGCUCCACCGUAGCAUGUGUGCCCACCGUCAACGGCAUCCACGAUGCAAACCUAUAAGUCCAUUAUCAAACGCAUGAGUUUUCAAAGUUAAGUUUCAAAUGAUUGAUAAGGCACAAGAGUCAACAAGCAUCAACAUAUAAGGUUCAAAUUGAAGCUAAGAAGUAUGAACAAUAUAAGCAUCAACACUUGUGGGCUCUACUAUCAACAAUGCACAAGUUGUAAGUUGAGAAGCACAAAGACAAGACGCAAGCAUCAACAAUGCACAAACAUAGACAACUACCUCGAGUGAUCAUUGUUGCAAGGAGGUCGAAGCGCCAUGAGCCGUAGUGGGAGUCACUGGGCUUGCUUGUCCUGACUGAGAACACUUCAAGCACGAGAAGGUAAGAUGGUAAGAUUCAUGAUCUUUAAGCAUGACUAG